Molecule: ribosomal RNA, 505 nt
Filed under: uncultured bacterium
Lineage: Bacteria
Description: partial 16S ribosomal RNA
Rfam family: Bacterial small subunit ribosomal RNA
Source: RNAcentral
GACGAACGCUGGCGGCGUGCUUAACACAUGCAAGUCGAACGAUGAAGAAAAGAGUCUAAGCUUCGGCAGAAAUUCAUUGCGGAUUAGUGGCAGACGGGUUAGUAACGCGUGAGCAACCUACCUCUUACAAAGGGAUAGCCUCGGGAAACCGGGAUUAAUACCAUAUAACAUUGUGACGAAGCAUUUCGAUUCAAUCAAAGCUACGGCGGUAAGCGAUGGGCCCGCGUCCCAUUAGCCGGUUGGUGAGGUACCGGCUCACCAUAGCGACGCUGGGUAACCGACCUGAGAGGGUGAUCGGGGACACGGGAAGUGAGACACGGUCCAGACGCGUAAGGGAGGCAGCAGUAGGGAAUCUACGGCAAUGGGCGAAAGCCUGACGGAGCAACGAGGCGUGAGGGAUGAAGGUCUUCGGAUCGUAAAACUCUGUGAUUAGGGAAGAACAAAUGUGUAAGUAACUAUGCACGUCUUGACGGUACCUAAUCAGAAAGCCACGGCUAACUACGUG